Molecule: unclassified non-coding RNA, 1377 nt
Filed under: Leishmania donovani
Lineage: Eukaryota; Euglenozoa; Kinetoplastea; Trypanosomatida; Trypanosomatidae
Description: gene:LdHU3.35.6950(CDS-product:hypothetical_prote in_conserved)
Source: RNAcentral
GGCUCGAAAAGCGCAGAUCAAUGGCCAGCACUCGCGCCGUCAGGCCAGCGUAUUACCAAAUCGUUAUCCUUUGAUCUUUUUCGUACCCCAUUUCAAGUGUGAAUGCACCUCUUCGCGCUGCUGCUGCUGCUGCUGUCGUUGGUCAUCGGGCUGAUGCUCGCUGUGCCAGGACGAGGUGCUCGCAAGUGCUUCGUCACAGACGCAGCCCCGGCCGUUCCGUUCGGGCUUGAGCUGUGCUACAUGCACUCGCACAAUGCAUGCUGCCUCCCCGGCAAUGAUAAAGAUAUUCAGACGGCAUACAGUGCCUUGGUGCCGAAGGGGCAGGGCUGUGUCGCGGGCAGCCAGCGCAUUUACACCUCGCUCUACGCGCUGCGCCAGUAUCUUUGCCUGCCCUGUGAUCCCAAAGAGCCCUUGUACCGCUUCGAGAGCGUCAAGGGCGACAUGGUGGACGGUGGUCUCGUUCCGCCGUCCACCAACUCCGUUGCUGGGGAGCAGACGUGGCGCAUUUGCCGUUCCUUCCUCUACGGCAAGGAGGGCACGCGGAAAGGGCUGUGGGGUCACGAUGGCUCUCGCUACGCUGAAUGCGGCGUCAUCGUGAGCUCCUGCAUGUCCACCCCCGUCUUCAACAUAACUGCCGCCUCCUUUCAGUCACCGUCGCCCUCGUGCGUAGCGUCGAAUGAGCUGAUCAUUCCGUCUAUCACCUUCCGUGGCUCCCCCAACCCGGCACUCGAGAUGCUUUCAAUGGUAACGCAGAGCAUUCCAGACUUUCAAAUCGUCAUUGUGAACGACAGCGAUCCCAACUACGACUACGACAAGACACCGUGCUUCGGCCGUGACGCCACUGCGGCCGUCGCCUCAGCGACGCUGUCAGGGUGGGUGUCUGCAGUGGCACUUGUGCUGUUACUCUGGCUUUGAGGUGGAGCCCCCUGUGUACAAGAAGGCGUGCAUUCGGUUUUUCGUGAACCCCACUUUACUAGUCAUCAGGCUCACGGUGGAGAAAGGUCUCGCGCCUGGGAUAUCCCGGUGUGCGAUGCGCUGUCAACAACCGUGUACAGGCGGCGGCUGUACCGCCUGUGAAAUUGUUUGCAUCACUAAAGAGGGCAGGCGAAGACUUGUAGAGUAACUGUAUACACUGCCGCGUCCUCUUUUCGAUCUUCAUUGCUUUUAUUUUUUGUAUAUCAUUUUGUGUGCUUUCCUCGGGGGAGGUCUGCGGCGGCCAAUGCAAAGUGAAUGGUAGUCUUUUGCAUAUGCUCUGCCUAAUGCGAGUGUCUUGGAUGACAUCGCCUUCGCACCGCCGUUCCGUCGGACACCCUCUUCAUUGGCUUCCGUCUUGUUCGUCUCCCAUCUUCCUCAACUCCGGUGUACAGAGGCAAAAAC